RNAcentral lists this non-coding RNA (24 nucleotides) under Mus musculus (house mouse). Lineage: Eukaryota; Metazoa; Chordata; Mammalia; Rodentia; Muridae. The record is from RNAcentral.
UAAAGAUCGAGUGGGCAUGAUCAG